Molecule: long non-coding RNA, 877 nt
Organism: Centruroides sculpturatus (bark scorpion)
Lineage: Eukaryota; Metazoa; Arthropoda; Arachnida; Scorpiones; Buthidae
Exons: 7
Source: RefSeq, a predicted model, not a curated record
AUUACGAAAUUAGGGAAAAUUAAAAUAUAUAUAAUUUAAAAUAAUUACAAGUUGAUGUCGCUAUCGUUAAUAUCUCUUACAUAACGUAGCCAUUUUACAUUACAUACCACCAUGUUAGUAGUAGUGUGGCAAUAAUUGGGAAAAUUUCGCUUACAAUAUGCAGAAUUCCUUUCAAGACAUUCGAAGAUUUACCACUGAAAAUUUACAUCUCAAACUUAAGUUAAACAUACUGAAUUUCAUGAAACGAUUUAGUAAAGUUUCAUUAAGACUUUCAAUCGGAGGGUUCUUCUUUGUAACAAAAAGAUUUCCUCUUAGGAUGGCAAGUACCCUUCACACCGUGUUCUCAGGACUCCUGAAAUUGAGAAGUGUAAAAUAUGAACACAAAAUAUGUAACGAUAUAUUAAAUGAAAAUAGCACAGUUUCAUAAGAAGCGUUAAGAGUAAAUAUUAAACAUCUUAUUUAAAUGUAUAAAUUCCGUUUAGCAAAAGGGUCCGUUUAUGUGUCCAAAAUAGACACGCGUAAGGACUUCUUUGUCAUUAGGAAAAAGGGACAAGACUCUACUUCUUUUAGAUUGAGAAUGCAGAAUUCCUUUCAAGAUAUUCGAAGAUUUACCACUGGAAAUUUACAUCUCGAACUUAAGUUAAACAUACUGGAUUUCAUGAAACGAUUUGGUAAAGUUUCAUUAAGACUUUCAGUCGGAGGGUUCUUCUUUGUAACAAAAAGAUUUCCUCUUAGGAUGGCAAGUACCCUUCACACCGUAUUCUCAGGGCUCCUGAAAUUGAGAAGUGUAACAUAUGAACACAAAAUGUGUAACGAUAUGUUAAAAGAAAAUAGCACAGUUUCAUAAGAAGCAUUAACAGUAAUAUAUUAAACAGGU